This 460-nucleotide ribosomal RNA is filed under the name uncultured bacterium. RNAcentral describes it as "partial 16S ribosomal RNA". It matches the Rfam family "Bacterial small subunit ribosomal RNA", at positions 338 to 795 of the family's 1533-position model. The record is from RNAcentral.
CCUACGGGAGGCUGCAGUGAGGAAUAUUGGUCAAUGGACGAGAGUCUGAACCAGCCAAGUAGCGUGAAGGAUGACUGCCCUAUGGGUUGUAAACUUCUUUUAUAUGGGAAUAAAAUGUUCCACGUGUGGGAUUUUGUAUGUACCAUAUGAAUAAGGAUCGGCUAACUCCGUGCCAGCAGCCGCGGUAAUACGGAGGAUCCGAGCGUUAUCCGGAUUUAUUGGGCUUAAAGGGAGCGUAGGUGGAUUGUUAAGUCAGUUGUGAAAGUUUGCGGCUCAACCGUAAAAUUGCAGUUGAAACUGGCAGUCUAGAGUACAGUAGAGGUGGGCGGAAUUCGUGGUGUAGCGGUGAAAUGCUUAGAGAUCACGAAGAACUCCGAUUGCGAAGGCAGCUCACUGGACUGCAACUGACACUGAGGCUCGAAAGUGUGGGUAUCAAACAGGAUUAGAUACCCGAGUAGUC